AGGUAUGGGAUCACUGCUCUCACAUCCUCACACACAUCUAUGACGGACAUCCAUUCUGCAUGUGAGGCUCGACUGACGGAGGUACAGAGACAGACUGUCGAGGAUCGACAGCAGGCUGUCGAGGAUCGACAGUGAGCUCAAGAGUUGCCUGCACGCGUCGACAACUAUCAGUACUUUCAGAUCUAGAUAAUCGAGCGGAUGGCACAGAUGGAGCAAACAAUACAACUGAUGAGGCAGCAGUAGGUCGA
This 248-nucleotide long non-coding RNA is filed under the name Elaeis guineensis (African oil palm). RNAcentral describes it as "long non-coding RNA (EGUI_LNC017734)". Lineage: Eukaryota; Viridiplantae; Streptophyta; Magnoliopsida; Arecales; Arecaceae. The record is from RNAcentral.